AUACGGAAGGUCCGGGCGUUAUCCGGAUUUAUUGGGUUUAAAGGGAGCGCAGGCGGAGAUGCAAGCGUGACGUCAAAUUUCGGGGCUCAACCCCGUCUCGCGUCGCGAACUGCGUCCCUUGGUUGCGGGAAGGGGAGGCGGAACUCGUGGUGCAGCGGUGAAAUGCAUAGAUAUCACGAAGAACUCCGAUCGCGAAGGCAGCCUUCCGGCCCGUCAACGACGCUCAUGCUCGAAGGUGCGGGUAUCAAACAGGAUUAGAUACCCUGGUAGUCCGCACAGUAAACGAUGGACACCCGCGGUUUGGCCUGUAUGGCUGAGCCGCCAAGCGAAAGCGUUAAGUGUCCCACCUGGGGAGUACGCCGGCAACGGUGAAACUCAAAUGAAUUGACGGGG
RNAcentral lists this ribosomal RNA (393 nucleotides) under uncultured bacterium. Its description in RNAcentral is "partial 16S ribosomal RNA". It matches the Rfam family "Bacterial small subunit ribosomal RNA", at positions 523 to 918 of the family's 1533-position model. The record is from RNAcentral.